UACGUAGGUGGCAAGCGUUAUCCGGAUUUAUUGGGCGUAAAGAGAACGCAGGCGGUCUUUUAAGUCAGAUGUGAAAGCCUUCGGCUUAACCGGAGUAGUGCAUUGGAAACUGGGAGACUUGAGCGCAGAAGAGGAGAGUGGAACUCCAUGUGUAGCGGUGAAAUGCGUAGAUAUAUGGAAGAACACCAGUGGCGAAAGCGGCUCUCUGGUCUGUAACUGACGCUGAGGUUCGAAAGCGUGGGUAGCAAACAGG
This 253-nucleotide ribosomal RNA is filed under the name uncultured bacterium. Its description in RNAcentral is "partial 16S ribosomal RNA". It matches the Rfam family "Bacterial small subunit ribosomal RNA", at positions 524 to 776 of the family's 1533-position model. The record is from RNAcentral.